Molecule: unclassified non-coding RNA, 1789 nt
Filed under: Cimex lectularius (bed bug)
Lineage: Eukaryota; Metazoa; Arthropoda; Insecta; Hemiptera; Cimicidae
Description: tWiK family of potassium channels protein 18-like, transcript variant X4
Source: RNAcentral
GUUGAUAAUAAACAGGAAAUUUAUCAUUUACUAUGAAGUAUUGUUUUUAUAAACUUAUAAUAGAUAGAUCUGUAUAGAAUGGAAAAAAUGGAGUUCUUUUGAUGAUACAUGAAAAAUUACAUAUGUUAAAAGGGAAAUUUAAAAAAAAAAACUUUUUAUAUGAUCAGGCAGAAACAGUAAACUUAUAUUUCAGGCGACUAUUUUUAAGGACUGUGUAAUCUUUCUGAAUUGUGAAAAGUAUGAUAGAAAAUCAAGAGGGAUCACAAUUACAAAUAGAAAAGCCAAAUUACAUCACACUUUGAAAAAGUUUCAAUUUAAAGAUGACACAUACACAUGGCACAUAAAAAAAAAAGAGUCCAUGAUGAAGUUUCCUCACAUUCUGAAGAAGAAGUACACGCACCUAAGCAUCAUCCUCAACAUCAUCAACAACAUCAUCAUCAUCAUUCAAAGAAAGCUCAAGAAGAUAUUGUUGCUGAUAUCCAACAUUAUGGCUUGGAGGUCAAUGAAAGAAUAUUCCUUUGGUUGCAUGCAAAAGUGGGCCAGCUCUCUCAAACCUGGGUGACUCACGGUAUGCUGCUUGUCGCAGUGGUGCUUUAUGCUUUUGCUGGUGCUUUCCUCUUUCGACUUUGUGAGGCCAAUGACAAACCAAUUGAAAUAAAAGACCUUUUUGAAUCAAGACCUGAACUUGUGCAAGUGAUAAUGUCUGAGCAAUCCAAAUUUACUUCAUCAGCAAACACUCCGAAAACGGUUGAAUAUUUUUUUGGUAAUGUGACCAAAGGUUUCCAGGAUUAUGAAUUGGCAAUUUCAGCUAACUAUAACCACAACAUUGUGAUGGCUCGUGGAAAGGAUGAGUUGAACUGGGAAUUCUGGAAUACCGUGUUCUUUUGCUGCACAGUUUUUACAUCAAUUGGUUAUGGUCACAUGUACCCAGUUACAACUAUAGGAAGAUUAUUGACAAUGGUCUAUGCAGUAAUUGGAAUACCACUUUUUCUUAUUGUACUCACAGACUUUGGCUUUGUACUGACAAGAGUUAUUAAAUUUCUUUGGCUAAUUUUUCGCCGUAUUUAUUACACAGGGAGCUUUAGGAAAGAAGAUGAUGAAAUAGAAAGAAGGACUUCGACAGCCUCUGACGAACUUGAAAUGGGGGUGGAGGAUGAUGAGGAUCCAUACUCUUUUUCUUGUGGGAAGAUUGGACAUUCUUUGAGGCUUUUUACUUUUUAUUUAUUUCCAUGACAACUCUUGGUUUGGGUGAUUUUGUGCCAAAGAAUCAAGAUAACAUGAUGAUUUCCGUUGUUUUCAUGGGUUUUGGCUUAUCGUUAAGUUCAAUGUGUAUUAAUGUUGUCAGGGAAAGGCUGGUUGAAUCAAUGAUAGAGGCAAGUUCAAAGAUUGGCGAGAAAUACGGAAUUGAAAUUGAAAUCGACAAAGAUCUUAUUGAGGAUCCAGGAAUGGAGAAAAAGGAAAAGAAUGACAAUGAUACUUAAGAGAGUCAGAGGAAAAAACUCAUUUUUAUUGUUUAAUAGCCUCAAAAUAAUUCAGAUAAUUUUAACUAAUGUUUUGAAACAAAUCUUAAAAACUGUCAUCGAGGUGAACAUAAAAUAUGUAAAUAACUUUUUAAACUCACUUUGCAAAAGUGAGAUGACUUACAAUAGUAAAAAUACUGAAUUUUGUUGUAAAUGUGUCCUAUAUUGGUAAAUGACAUUUGUUUUAAAUUACACUUAUACAUAAAAGUCUCUAUUGGUAUUAUUAUGGUUUCAAUAAGAAAAAAAAGUGCAAUAAAUGUUUAAAUAUA